UGAACGCUAGCUACAGGCUUAACACAUGCAAGUCGAGGGGCAGCAUUUCGCUAGCAAUAGUGAAGAUGGCGACCGGCGCACGGGUGAGUAACACGUAUCCAACCUGCCGAUAACUCGGGGAUAGCCUUUCGAAAGAAAGAUUAAUAUCCGAUGGUAUAUUAAGAUCGCAUGGUUUUACUAUUAAAGAAUUUCGGUUAUCGAUGGGGAUGCGUUCCAUUAGUUUGUUGGCGGGGUAACGGCCCACCAAGACUACGAUGGAUAGGGGUUCUGAGAGGAAGGUCCCCCACAUUGGAACUGAGACACGGUCCAAACUCCUACGGGAGGCAGCAGUGAGGAAUAUUGGUCAAUGGGCGAGAGCCUGAACCAGCCAAGUAGCGUGAGGGAUGAAGGCUCUAUGGGUCGUAAACCUCUUUUAUAUGGGAAUAAAGUUUUCCACGUGUGGAAUUUUGUAUGUACCAUAUGAAUAAGGAUCGGCUAACUCCGUGCCAGCAGCCGCGGUAAUACGGAGGAUCCGAGCGUUAUCCGGAUUUAUUGGGUUUAAAGGGAGCGUAGGUGGAUUGUUAAGUCAGUUGUGAAAGUUUGCGGCUCAACCGUAAAAUUGCAGUUGAAACUGGCAGUCUUGAGUACAGUAGAGGUGGGCGGAAUUCGUGGUGUAGCGGUGAAAUGCUUAGAUAUCACGAAGAACUCCGAUUGCGAAGGCAGCUCCCUAGACUGCACCUGACACUGAGGCUCGAAAGUGUGGGUAUCAAACAGGAUUAGAUACCCCUGGUAGUCCACACAGUAAACGAUGAAUACUCGCUGUUUGCGAUAUACAGCAAGCGGCCAAGCGAAAGCAUUAAGUAUUCCACCUGGGGAGUACGCCGGGCAACGGUGAAACUCAAAGGAAUUGACGGGGGCCCGCACAAGCGGAGGAACAUGUGGUUUAAUUCGAUGAUACGCGAGGAACCUCACCCGGGCUUAAAUUGCAAAUGAAUAAUCUGGAAACAGGUUAGCCGCAAGGCAUUUGUGAAGGUGCUGCAUGGUUGUCGUCAGCUCGUGCCGUGAGGUGUCGGCUUAAGUGCCAUAACGAGCGCAACCCUUAUCUUUAGUUACUAACAGGUCAUGCUGAGGACUCUAGAGAGACUGCCGUCGUAAGAUGUGAGGAAGGUGGGGAUGACGUCAAAUCAGCACGGCCCUUACGUCCGGGGCUACACACGUGUUACAAUGGGGGGUACAGAAGGCAGCUACCUGGCGACAGGAUGCUAAUCCCAAAAACCUCUCUCAGUUCGGAUCGAAGUCUGCAACCCGACUUCGUGAAGCUGGAUUCGCUAGUAAUCGCGCAUCAGCCAUGGCGCGGUGAAUACGUUCCCGGGCCUUGUACACACCGCCCGUCAAGCCAUGAAAGCCGGGGGUACCUGAAGUACGUAACCGCAAGGAGCGUCCUAGGGUAAAACUGGUAAUUGGGGAUAA
Molecule: ribosomal RNA, 1449 nt
Filed under: uncultured organism
Description: SSU rRNA
Rfam family: Bacterial small subunit ribosomal RNA
Source: RNAcentral